UACAGAGGGGGCAAGCGUUGUUCGGAAUUACUGGGCGUAAAGGGCGCGUAGGCGGCCUUCUAAGUCGAACGUGAAAUCCCUGGGCUCAACCCAGGAACUGCGUCCGAUACUGGAAGGCUUGAAUCCGGGAGAGGGAUGCGGAAUUCCAGGUGUAGCGGUGAAAUGCGUAGAUAUCUGGAGGAACACCGGUGGCGAAGGCGGCAUCCUGGACCGGUAUUGGCGCUGAGGCGCGAAAGCCAGGGGAGCAAACGGG
This 253-nucleotide ribosomal RNA is filed under the name uncultured bacterium. RNAcentral's name for it is "partial 16S ribosomal RNA". It matches the Rfam family "Bacterial small subunit ribosomal RNA", at positions 524 to 776 of the family's 1533-position model. The record is from RNAcentral.